CUAGUAACUGCGAGUGAAGCGGGAAAAGCUCAAAUUUAAAAUCUGGCGGUCUCUGGCCGUCCGAGUUGUAAUCUAGAGAAGUAAUGCCCGCGCUGGACCGUGUACAAGUCUCCUGGAACGGAGCGUCAUAGAGGGUGAGAAUCCCGUCUCUGACACGGACUACCAGGGCUCUGUGGUAUGCUCUCAAAGAGUCGAGUUGUUUGGGAAUGCAGCUCUAAACGGGUGGUAAAUUCCAUCUAAAGCUAAAUAUUGGCGAGAGACCGAUAGCGAACAAGUACCGUGAGGGAAAGAUGAAAAGAACUUUGGAAAGAGAGUUAAACAGUACGUGAAAUUGCUGAAAGGGAAACGCUUGAAGUCAGUCGCGUUGGCCGGGGAUCAGCCUCGCUUUUUUGCGUGGUGUACUUUCUGGUUGACGGGUCAGCAUCAAUUUUGACCGCUGGAAAAAGGCUUGGGGAAUGUGGCAGCUUCGGCUGUGUUAUAGCCCCUUGUCACAUACGGCGGUUGGGAUUGAGGAACUCAGCACGCCGCAAGGCCGGGUUUCGACCACGUUCGUGCUUAGGAUGCUGGCAUAAUGGCUUUAAGCGACCCGUCUUGAAACACGGACCAAGGAGUCUAACAUGCCUGCGAGUGUUUGCGUGGUAAACCCGAGCGCGUAAUGAAAGUGAAAGUUGAUAGCCAUGCCCCUG
This 686-nucleotide ribosomal RNA is filed under the name Chlorophyllum hortense. RNAcentral's name for it is "eukaryotic LSU rRNA". It matches the Rfam family "Eukaryotic large subunit ribosomal RNA", at positions 80 to 752 of the family's 3401-position model. Lineage: Eukaryota; Fungi; Basidiomycota; Agaricomycetes; Agaricales; Agaricaceae. The record is from RNAcentral.